GCUCAAAUUUGAAAUCUUAAAGGGUUUCCCUUUACGAAUUGUAGUUUAAAGAAGUGUUUUCUGUUGAGGUUUUGGUAAAAGUUCUUUGGAAUAGGACAUCAUAGAGGGUGAGAAUCCCGUACUUGACCUUUACUUUCAACUUUGUGAUACACUUUCAAAGAGUCGGAUUGUUUGGGAAUGCAGUCCAAAAUGGGUGGUAAAUUUCAUCUAAAGCUAAAUAUUGGCGAGAGACCGAUAGGGAACAAGUACCGUGAGGGAAAGAUGAAAAGAACUUUGAAAAGAGAGUUAAACAGUACGUGAAAUUGUCAAAAGGGAAGCGUUUGACACCAGUGUUGUUUUUCUGAAAAUCAAUUAAAGAACUGUUUAUGCUAAGCUGUUUAGACUUUACCAGCUAUCUGUUUAGUUUUGAGCUUUUCUUUAAUGCACUUUUCAGUUAACAAG
This 441-nucleotide ribosomal RNA is filed under the name uncultured Neocallimastigomycetes. Its description in RNAcentral is "LSU rRNA". It matches the Rfam family "Eukaryotic large subunit ribosomal RNA", at positions 107 to 542 of the family's 3401-position model. Lineage: Eukaryota; Fungi; Neocallimastigomycota; Neocallimastigomycetes. The record is from RNAcentral.